AUUGAACGCUGGCGGCAGGCCUAACACAUGCAAGUCGAGCGAGCGGCGGACGGGUGAGUAAUGUCUGGGAAACUGCCUGAUGGAGGGGGAUAACUACUGGAAAAGGUAGCUAAUACCGCAUACUAUCAGAUGUGCCCAGAUGGGAUUAGCUAGUAGGUGGGGUAACGGCUCACCUAGGCGACGAUCCCUAGACGGUCUGAGAGGAUGACCAGCCACACUGGAACUGAGACACGGUCCAGACUCCUACGGGAGGCAGCAGUGGGGAAUAUUGCGCAAUGGGCGCAAGCCUGAUGCAGCCAUGCCGCGUGUGUGAAGAAGGCCUUCGGGUUGUAAAGCACUUUCAGCGGGAAGGCGUUACCCGAAGAAGAAGCACCGGCUAACUCCGUGCCAGCAGCCGCGGUAAUAC
This 406-nucleotide ribosomal RNA is filed under the name uncultured bacterium. RNAcentral's name for it is "partial 16S ribosomal RNA". It matches the Rfam family "Bacterial small subunit ribosomal RNA", at positions 30 to 526 of the family's 1533-position model. The record is from RNAcentral.